UUCCGCGCUAGCUGCGUAGCGGUGACGGAGCGGCGACGCGCCUCUCCUCCGCAGUGGAUCCGUGUCUCCGGGCUCCGGUCUCGGUGCGGCAGCGGCUCACCUGACCGCGGCACGGCGCUCUGCUCUCGGCUGCCGGAGCUCCGCCGCAGCGGCCCGAACUGGGGGGCGGAUUAGCGGGCCGACGGGCCACUGAGCAACCCGGACUCUAAUACUCACCCUGACGCUGGUCCGGUUCGGUGGUCUGACUGGGAGCAGCUAACCGCCGUCUGCAGCGGCAGAACGGACCCAUCAGCACCGAACCGCAUUAACAGACCCUCUAAUUUUACAAGGAAACGGGAUAAUCAUGGGUUCUGGAGAGUCCGGGUCACAGGUCUGAGUGAUCCGGACUAAAUCAGAACCAAGGUAAUAUUACGGCUGCAGGUACAGCUCUGAGGGAUGGGUCCAUCAGGACUCGGAACCGAGACAAGGUGACCGAACUGACGGGUUUAACACUGGAACAAGGCCGUUCUGCUGCUGCUGCACCUCCAGAACCGCAUGUCCCGAACCUCAGGAGAGCUCGGCUGCAGGUAGAGCCAUCCGGAACCAUGGGAACCCAGGGCCCUGGCCGGAAGAGGAUUCCGAACCGGGACAAGCUGGCUGCGGAGGAGGAUGCGCUGAGCCAGAUAGCGCGAGAGGCUGAGGCCCGGCUGGCAGCGAAGCGAGCCGCCAGAGCCGAGGCCCGGGAGAUCCGGAUGAAGGAGCUGGAGAGGCAACAGAAGGAGCUGUUUCACAGCACCAAGAAGUAUUAUGGUCUGGAUAACAAGUGGGGUCACAUCGAACAGUGGAUGGAGGACAGCGAGCGUUACUCUCGUCUCUCUCGGAGACACACCUCGAUCUCUGAUGAUGAGGAGAGAAUGUCUGUGGGCAGCCGGGGCAGUUACCGGCCCUCGGACUACGGUGGCCUCCUGGCCUCCAGCUCUCGGGCCUCCUCCAGGGCCAGCUCGGCCCGGGCCAGCCCUGUGGUGGAGGAGAGGACGGACCGGGAGUUCACUGACAAGGGCUCCAGGACGGCGUCCACGCUGUCCGCCGCCACACUGGCCUCGCUGGGCGGCGCCUCUUCACGCAGGGGAAGCUGUGACACGUCGUUCUCCGUGGAAACGGAGGCCUCAAUCAGAGAGAUGAAGGACUCACUGGCGGAGGCGGAGGAGAAGUACCGCAGGGCCAUGGUGUCCAACGCUCAGCUGCACAACGACAAGACGGCGCUGAUGUUCCAGGUGGAGAACCUGAUGGAGGAGCUGAGCGACGUGGAGGAGCUGCUGUGGGAGGCCCGGCGCCGCUGGGACGACGCCACCAAGGAGCUGGAGCGUGAGCGCCAGGCCCACAGCGUCCUGAAGGUCCAGUUCAAUCAAACAGAGGAAACUCUGAGGCAAACCAACGAGCUGCUGACGGAAGUGUCUGAUCUGCGUCAGAAGAGCAGCUCCUACCGGCAGGAGAUCUCUGACCUGCAGGAAGCUCUGCAGUGGAAGGAGAAGAAGAUCGCGGCGUUAGAGCGCCACAGAGAAAUCUCUGACAUCGUUCGGAUCGAACGCGACCGGCUCACAGAUGAGGUUGUCCAGCUCCAAGACUCACUGAAGACCCAUGGAGUGGUCAUCUCUCCUGACACCGCUGCCAACGGCGAUGCAGACCAGACUGAAAAGGAAUCUCCCUCCCUCAUGGCUGAGGACUCGCCUCACAGCAGGAGAGAGAGCAUGCUCGGGAAGGCUUCACAGCAGCAGCCAGCAGAUGGCAGCAAAACCCCUCAAAAUGACCCCAAAGACAACAAGAGGUCACUGCCACAGAACAUGAUCUCUGUGAGCGACCAAACCAGACCAUCCAGAGAAAAACAAAGACCAACUGAGAAACAUCCAGGCAGAAACCGACAAACACGGAGCAAGGCAGGUAAAAAGGAUCCGACCAAAAAGCUUCCUGUGAGAGCCGACGGAAAUGAGGCAAACAAGAAACAGCCUAGCAAAGAAGAUCCAGCUCAGAAAGUCUUCAGAUCCAGACUUGUUCCACCGCGAUCUGCUAAAGACAUUAUCCUGGGUUACCGAGCCAUGGUGUUGGGCCUUUCAGCUGCUGUGAAAUUGAACUCUCCAUCUGAGGAGGUGGUAACACAGGACGUCUCUUUGGCUCUGCAAAGCGAAUCGUCUUCCUCUGAAACAAACUUUGAACAAAAGCAUAUGAGUACUUCAGAUCUGGGAUCCCAAAGUCAAGAUGAAGACAGGAAUGUGGAAAAUGAAAUUUCAGGUUUCAGUGAAGAAGAUCCCAGCCUUAAAGCUGCAGCAGAGUCCAUCAAGUCAAAGGUUGAGGCUGCAGGUGGUGAAGAAGGCUCCAUCAGGAGGACAGAAGCCAGUCCAGAAACCAAAGUACAUUUCACAUCUCCUCCUGAGAACCAAAGCACUGGAGAACCACUCCAAAGAGCUGCUCAGGUGCACAAAACUUGCCCUGAAAGCCCAAAGAGAACACCCCCCUUUCCUCCAGAAGAAAUGUGGACCAGUAUGGUGAUGACUGUUCAAGAUUUGCUCCAAGGACUAGAGGAUAAACCAGGGUUUGUAGUAGAAAUUUCAAGAAUCUUCUCAGAAAUCCUGAUGUAUCUCCACCACUGGAUCUCAGAUUUGGAGAACACACUAAGGAACAGAGUAGGACGUGAGUCCUGUCUGAAUGAUGGAGGUGGACAUGAAUCAGUGUGGCCACUGAGGGGAACCAGACUCUCCACGUGGCUUCUGACAAGCCUAGCCAGAGAAACAGCAGAAGGUUCUGGAUGUGAAGAAGAACAUCUGGCUGGAUGUUCUUCAUCACCAAGAGUCAGUUCAGCCAGAGAAAGGAUGGAGGACCCAUCUGGUUCCUCAAGCAGAGUUUGUUCAACUUCUCAUGAUCAUUCUACCACUAAUGACGAAGGAGAGAUGAGGUCUAGAGACGUGCAGCUAAAAGCUGACUCAGAAACCAGUCCACCUGAUUCUCCUCUAAAAACCAUCUCUGGAGAUUUUGUUUUUGUUGACUUGCAUUUUUCUGAAUCUCACAAGACCUCAACAGACUCCAGGUCUGACAGUCAAACUCACGUUCUGACUUCUGUCAAAGACUCAAAGGAGCUUGGAGGAAACCGCAGUUCAUCAGCACACUCCAGUGUUGGACAAAGUUCCUUCGUCAGGAGGUUUAUGGAUGUGACCGCUGAAGAAAUCAAGGCCUUGGCUGUUCCUGAGCUGGCUCUGGUGGGCCUCCAGGAGGGACGGCGGCUGGACCGGUCCAGUGUUGAUUCUACUGAGGAGCUGUCGGUUGGAGACAUGGACAGCUGUGAGGAGGCUGAUGAAGAAGAGGAGGUCCUACUGCUUCCACCACAGCAACAGAACCGAUCCACCAUAGAGGAAGAGGUCCAGGUUAUCGCUCCAUCGAUGGGCACCAUGGAACCAGAAUCAGAACAUGAAGAACCCGGAUUGGACAGCAGGGAAAAUGACAACACAGAUUGCAAGCUUUCAUGAGCUCAGGAGCGCCCUCUGCUGCUGGUUUUCAUGAACAUCUAACACGUUCAUGUUCAAAUGUUUAUGUUAGAAGAAAACAUGUUGACUGGUAGUUUUGGCUAGAGCCAGAAGAAAGCAGAGACUCACAUCAAGAGUUAGGAUAUAGAAAUCUAAAUGUGCUGAGUGACCGUUGAAGGUUUGGAGUGACGGAUAAAGAUGGGGAGUGACCAAUGAAGGAGUGAGUGAUGAAGGUGCGUCAGAUGAGAAGGUAGCUUUGAAUGUGUUGGAAUGACUAAUCUUCUGAAUAUAACAUGUAAGUUCCUACUGAGAAGAUGUGUUCCUGAAAAACAAGAUUAGAAAAGUUUUCAUGUCUGGUAAUAAAUGUUUAUCUGAAUCCUGGAGUUGUUUGUUUUGGUGGUUUUGUUCCAGUCAUCAGUAGAUGAUGUUCUCCACACCUGAAGGGUAAGCUGACUUCCUUCUCCGUGUCUCCAGAUCACAUCAGAAAUCAGGAGAAGUUGAGAUAAAAUGAUUGACAGUUAAUUUUUAAUUGUUAACCAUAGUUAAAGUAAUUAAUUUUCAUUAAAUCAAAUUGGAGAUAAUGAUCACUUCCCCAGCUGAUGAUCUCACCAUGAGGGUCCAAAGCUCCAUCCAGUGAGUCUUAAGCUAAGGAGUGGCAUUCCUCAGAGCUGUGCUGUUGUUGCAGAUGGAGUUCUGACUCUGUGACUGCAGUCGUCCAUCUCACCUCAUGGAGCUUUGACCUUCAGGCUGACCUUCAGGGAUGUCAUUGAUUGUUGCUCUCUGUUUCGUUUCAGAGCUUCGGAUGAAGAAACUGUUUGAUGACAGAGAAGGUUUACGGGAUCAGGUCAGACUUCUCCAGUCUCAGCUGGAUCAGAGGAACGGGGUGGAUGGAGCCCAGAACCCAGAGCAGAAGCCCCAGGAGAACGGCAUAGACCCUCAUCUG
This is an RNA transcript of Gambusia affinis (western mosquitofish), 4434 nucleotides long. It is a transcript of the gene named leucine rich repeat (in FLII) interacting protein 1b, with no coding region annotated. NCBI's taxonomy places the organism in Eukaryota, Metazoa, Chordata, Actinopteri, Cyprinodontiformes, Poeciliidae. The record is from RefSeq and is a predicted model, not a curated record. The transcript has 16 exons.